RNAcentral lists this ribosomal RNA (498 nucleotides) under uncultured bacterium. RNAcentral describes it as "partial 16S ribosomal RNA". It matches the Rfam family "Bacterial small subunit ribosomal RNA", at positions 28 to 507 of the family's 1533-position model. The record is from RNAcentral.
GACGAACGCUGGCGGCGUGCCUAAUACAUGCAAGUCGAACGAGAGCGACCGGUGCUUGCACUGGUCAAUCUAGUGGCGAACGGGUGAGUAACACGUGGGUAACCUGCCCAUCAGAGGGGGAUAACAUCCGGAAACGGAUGCUAAAACCGCAUAGGUCUUCGAACCGCAUGGUUUGAAGAGGAAAAGAGGCGCAAGCUUCUGCUGAUGGAUGGACCCGCGGUGCAUUAGCUAGCUGGUGAGGUAACGGCUCACCAAGGCCGUGAUGCAUAGCCGACCUGAGAGGGUGAUCGGCCACAUUGGGACUGAGACACGGCCCAAACUCCUACGGGAGGCAGCAGUAGGGAAUCUUCCGCAAUGGACGCAAGUCUGACGGAGCAACGCCGCGUGAGUGAAGAAGGUUUUCGGAUCGUAAAACUCUGUUGUUAGAGAAGAACAAGUGCUAGAGUAACUGUUAGCGCCUUGACGGUAUCUAACCAGAAAGCCACGGCUAACUACGUG